AAAGAGAAAUUGCUCUUUUAUUUAAUUGGAAAAGUUUAUGAAAGGCAGGAGGUUCUGAGAGCUCUCCACAAAGGGAAAGGAAGCCUCUUUGCAAACAAAGAAUAAUGAUUUGCUUCAGCUCUAGAGAAAUGUAUGAAGGACGGGAGGAAAAGAGUUGAGAUUCAGAGUAAGAGUGUGAUUCCGUUACCUGAAGAGGCGACAGAACAGGAGGAAACUGGACAAUCUGCGCUACAUAAUGUUCAAGUGUACAGAAAAAGGAAGCUGAGAUUGAGACACUGGAGUGUGAUGAAUGAACCCCAGAGAUUGAUGUCCUAAACAUAGCCCAGUCUGCAUCUCCCACAUGAAGGAACCCAGGGAAUGGUCAUGUUUCCAUAUAUCCCCACUUGAGGGACAUGAGAUGGGUGGGUUUCCACAAGGAUCAGCUGGAGGAGUUUCACAUCCAUCUGGCAAAGCUGCAUGAAGAUAAGCCUCGUGUUUUCCAGGUAACUGCAUUGCUCUACAGUGGCAAUGCUGAAUUAUUUUAUUUCCUCCCAUCAACCUCUCUCUGAAAAUUUGCGGAUACAGGUUAAAUGUCUCUUAACCAAA
Long non-coding RNA from Macaca mulatta (Rhesus monkey), 585 nucleotides. RefSeq lists it as uncharacterized. The record is from RefSeq and is a predicted model, not a curated record. NCBI's taxonomy places the organism in Eukaryota, Metazoa, Chordata, Mammalia, Primates, Cercopithecidae.